AGUGAACGCUGGCGGUAGGCCUAACACAUGCCAGUCGAACGGCAGCACAGUAAGAGCUUGCUCUUACGGGUGGCGAGUGGCGGACGGGUGAGGAAUACAUCGGAAUCUACUUUUUCGUGGGGGAUAACGUAGGGAAACUUACGCUAAUACUGCAUACGACCUACGGGUGAAAGCAGGGGAUCUUCGGACCUUGCGCGAUUGAAUGAGCCGAUGUCGGAUUAGCUAGUUGGCGGGGUAAAGGCCCACCAAGGCGACGAUCCGUAGCUGGUCUGAGAGGAUGGUCAGCCACACUGGAACUGAGACACGGUCCAGACUCCUACGGGAGGCAGCAGUGGGGAAUAUUGGACAAUGGGCGCAAGCCUGAUCCAGCCAUACCGCGUGGGUGAAGAAGGCCUUCGGGUUGUAAAGCCCUUUUGUUGGGAAAGAAAAGCAGCAGGUUAAUACCCCGCUGUUCUGACGGUACCCAAAGAAUAAGCACCGGCUAACUUCGUG
This 492-nucleotide ribosomal RNA is filed under the name uncultured bacterium. RNAcentral describes it as "partial 16S ribosomal RNA". It matches the Rfam family "Bacterial small subunit ribosomal RNA", at positions 29 to 507 of the family's 1533-position model. The record is from RNAcentral.